This 628-nucleotide small RNA is filed under the name Pan troglodytes (chimpanzee). RNAcentral describes it as "retained intron". The record is from RNAcentral. Lineage: Eukaryota; Metazoa; Chordata; Mammalia; Primates; Hominidae.
AUCCUGGGGCUGUGUCCCCACAGGGGCCUGCGGGGAGGCUCUGUCUCACCUCACGUCGGUUCUCCCCUCCCAGGGUUUCUGGACAAAAACAAUGACCUUCUCUUCCGGAACCUUAAGGAGACCAUGUGUAGCUCGAAGAAUCCCAUUAUGAGCCAGUGCUUCGACCGGAGCGAGCUCAGUGACAAGAAGCGGCCAGAGACGGUCGCCACCCAGUUCAAGAUGAGCCUCCUGCAGCUGGUGGAGAUCCUGCAGUCUAAGGAGCCCGCCUACGUCCGCUGCAUCAAGCCUAAUGAUGCCAAACAGCCCGGCCGCUUUGACGAGGUGCUGAUCCGCCACCAGGUGAAGUACCUGGGGCUGAUGGAAAACCUGCGCGUGCGCAGAGCCGGCUUUGCCUAUCGCCGCAAAUACGAAGCUUUCCUGCAAAGGUACAAGUCACUGUGCCCAGAGACGUGGCCCACGUGGGCAGGACGGCCGCAGGAUGGGGUGGCUGUGCUGGUCCGACACCUGGGCUACAAGCCAGAAGAGUACAAGAUGGGCAGGUGGGUAGUGUCCGUGCCGGGUGCCUGCGGGGAAUGGGAGUGGCAACCCCGGGCUGAUCACUGCUGCUCUCCCAGGACCAAGAUCUUCA